CCGGUCAUGCGUUCAAGUUGUGCUCUUACAGCGCAGAGGAAUCCUGAACCGGGCAUGGAGUCGAGGCCCAGUAGCAGCCUGGUGAUGGAGAUCAUGUAAUCCUUGACGAACGACUGUCCACAAGGAGCGUGUCUAGCAUGCUGACACUGAACACUUUGCCUGCUGCAAAGGGCAGACGGAACAUAAACACCAGGUUGGAUCCUCGCUCCCUUUCCUUCUGCAGGAUGGACGUUAUGGAUGCCAUUUCGAUGAUCCAAGCCUUUCUGCUAUGACUCAUGAACUCUGAUGAGAGACCUUUUGCUGUGCCUUACUUGUCCAUGGAGCCCACUGUGUAGAAAACCAUGGGGAACCAGCAGAUAGCCUCCAGGAAGUCUGCCUCAGCAGGGACUCACUUGGCCCUCAUCAGGUCCUGGUCUUUGAGAGCAGACCCCUGCAGGUAGAUGACUCUCUGGGCCCACAGAGGAACAUGAAGGACUCUUCUAACCUGGACGUCCAUUUCUGCCGGGCACAGGAUCACCACAUUCUCAGUCAUCAAGGUCACGGCGAUCCGCAAAAGUGGAGUUGAGCACAAUGAGCGCCACGAAGAUCAUGAUGACCACCAGGAGCUGCGAGGGCCAGAUCUGCGGGGUGACGUCCCCGAAGCCCACCGUAGAAAAGGUGACGACGCAGAAGUAGAGCGAAUCGAACAAGGUCAGGUUGUUGCCGGCCCGCUCCAGGUGCUGGAUGCCGCAGAUGCUGUUUUGGUCAGGAGGUGUACCUAAUGAAGUGUGGGAAUGUUUCAACAGUGUUUUGGCUUGUAGGCGGGUGGAUGCAUUCCAGAGCUAAUGUGCGGAAGAGUGCAUAUUUAAGUGUACGGGAGCAGCCCAUUGGGGAUGGAAACAAGUGAUCAUGAAGGGGACGGCGCUGAUCAUCUCCAGAAUGAAGGGGACACGUAGUACUUGCUCCCAGACGUUGCCCUGGAAACGCAAAGCACACACAAGAGGGCCCACAGCGGUAGAGGUCUAUCCACCCAGAUGAUCAGCUUCCUGCAGAGUGGAAGGACAUGACAUGACAGGACAAGGGAGCACAGGUUGUCCAGAAGCACUCUGACGAUGUAGAGGAGGCAGCUCAGCACUUUGAGCGCAAAGUUAAACAUUCGCACUCGUAAACCUGCAAAUGGAAAGAUUGGAGGCUUGCUUCAGUCUGUGUUAACUCUUUAUGGCGAGGAACCAUAUUUUAAGGUAGGCCUCUGUAUGAUACAGAAAAGCAUGAAAAUUGACGAUAAGAAUGAACACUUUGAAAUUUAGGAAAUACACAUAUGACAUUGAAUGUUAGUUGAUUUUUUUUCUUUUUUUUAAAUGUCACAAAAGUAAAAAUAUAUGUGAAAAGUUGAAUUCCCAAUGGCUAAUACUACUAAAGUGUAUUCAGUGCUAAAAUUAUAUAUAUAUAUAAAAAAAGAAAUUUACUGCACAGUUUUUUGUCAUCUUGCUACUAAUUUUUUUAAGUUUUGUGUGAAAUUCUUCUAAUUCAGGUUGGAACAAGCUUAUUAUUGACCGAAGCGACUGCUAAUUUUACACUUUCAUUAGCAUUUGUACAACUUAUGGUGUGAGAUUCUUAGUGUAUUACUUUUAUAUUAUGAGAUAAUACUAAAUUCCAAUGAUAAUUGAUUUUGCCCCCCCCAAACGUAGACGAUUACUACAGUACCACCCUUUAGAUAAUUGUGUUGAAUUCCCAAAAUAUGUACUAGACAUUGCCAAAAUGACACUGAAAUCAAAUUAGUAACUGCAAAUUAACCACAACCAUUAAUAUAAUACAAUAUUAAAACAUAAUUCUAUCCAUUUCUGUCAGGUUUCUACUGAUUAAAAUGCUUUAUUUACUUUAUGUAUGAAAUCCCACUACUUGCGGGACCAAGCUCAAUAUUUAUGGACCACUAAAGUUAUUUGCACUUUUACACGCAUGUUUCAGCUUAUUUCAAGUCUUCUACUGAGUUCUAAUGAUCAUUGAUUUUGUAUUUAUUUUUCUCUCACAAAAUUAGUCUAAAUGGUGCCCAAAGUACUUUACAGAGGCUCACAUGAGCAUUUGUGGGUUGAGAUUUUGUUGGGGCUCCUUUCUGUAACAUUUUGAAUAGAGGCGCUAAGAUGGCUCAAGGUGUACCUACUGUUGUGGCUACUGAGUUUAAACACCGUCGCCUCAGCUGCUUGUUGUUCACUCGUCGCAAACAGGUUGAAUGAAAACAUACUGACAAGUGAGAGAGCGCUGAUGCACACCACAUGUUACAUCAACCGGAGUCACUCAUGGAGAACCAAAAGGCAAAUUGAGGCAGCUGAUGAAAGGCAGCCAACACGCUGAGGGGGGGGCAACUCACUGGAUCUUUGGUUUUUGAUGAAGAACAGCUUGAGGCGCUCCUUGAACGUGUUCUCGUUCACGUAGAACUCCACUUGCACCCUGAAGCAGAUGGUGGACAAAAAUGUCUAGAGAGGAAAUAGACUGUGAGCUGGACUGUGAGGGAAAACAAAUCAAAUUGCAGAUAAAAAGGGGUGAUAAUUAUUUAAGCAUAUCAAGUAUUAGAAGAAGAGUCAGUAAUGGCUUUUAGGAGGAAAUGGCGCUCCAGUAGAGCCCAGUCAUCCUCUUUUGCUCUCGUUAGCCACGCUGAUUGAAUAUCGAGCAACAAAUGACUUGCCUCUGAUGUGACUGCUCAACAUGAGAGACCAUAAUUGCUACUUUUUUUUCCCGCCCCUUUUCCAUGCCGGCACCCUUCUGGCGAGAGCGACGUGUGCGCAAAACUACCCGCCUGCACGCGUGUGGGUUAUUAGGAUUAUUACAGCGCUCACGCAGAGACGCGAUGGAAAACAACAAAGAGGCCCUGUCCGACUCGGACUGGAUGGAGAUCUGCCCUCACUUCCCAAAGAGCUCCUAUUGAGAUUUCCGACUUCCGACGUGGUCGCUCCUCUGUUUAAAUGCAAGCGCCCCCCACCAGAAAUUCCAUCGGGGGGACGAGGACGUUGACAGAUGAGCCAAGAAUGUUUGGGGGAAAAUGAGACGAUCAUUCCCUCGACGACGUCAUUUCAUGGGCAUGUCUACUAACGAUGACGUGAUGUCAUCGACGCGUGUCACAAAUGAACCGUCUUGCGUGGCGGAAUUAUUACUAUCACCACAAAUGUCCACGGUUGUGCUUAAUAUUUCAAGUGGGAUUAAAUUGAAGUCAAAUAUCAUCAAUACUGUUACUCUUCACAACUUUGCGGAUGCAAAGACGAUCGGGAUUGGUUUAGCCCAAAGGCUAAGAGGACGAUCGGGAUUGGUUUAGCCCAAAGGCUAAGAAGACGAUCGGGAUUGGUUUAGCCCAAAGGCUAAGAGGACGAUCGGGAUUGGUUUAGCCCAAAGGCUAAGAAGACGAUCGGGAUUGGUUUAGCCCAAAGGCUAAGAAGACGAUCGGGAUUGGUUUAGCCCAAAGGCUAAGAAGAUGAUCGGGAUUGGUUUAGCCCAAAGGCUAAGAGGACGAUCGGGAUUGGUUUAGCCCAAAGGCUAAGAAGACGAUCGGGAUUGGUUUAGCCCAAAGGCUAAGACGUUGCGCAGUGAUUUGCUAGUGAACAAACCCGAACCAGUCGUCCACUUUGAGGUAAAUGAAUGUAAAGUGCAAUACAAAUAAAAUGUAUUAUUGUUAUUAAUUACCCCCAAGGUUCCCAUUAAUAUGAGACACAUUUAUUUACAGUUUAUUAUUAUUAUUAUUUUUAAAUCACAGCUGUAUUUCCUAUAAAUUAUUAACACCCAUACACAACGGUGCUACGCUCUGUUUGCAUGACUGUUUCCGUUCACUGUCUUCAGUCCCGUUUGAGUGUUCAAAGUAAACCAUCAAAAAUGUACAAAUUACACCGGAGGGUCAUGACCUCCUGUCCACACAAUUGUUGGCAAGAGGGAUCUUAGAAAUGCAAUCAAAAAGUGCUGCCCCCCCCCCCCCCCGUGUGCGAGCCAUGAAUUAUGCAGCAUCUUUAACGUCCUUUGUGUGGAAAAUUGUGCCACCUGAGGGUCUUCAGGA
Long non-coding RNA from Phyllopteryx taeniolatus (common seadragon), 4012 nucleotides. RefSeq lists it as uncharacterized. The transcript has 12 exons. Lineage: Eukaryota; Metazoa; Chordata; Actinopteri; Syngnathiformes; Syngnathidae. The record is from RefSeq and is a predicted model, not a curated record.